CACCACUCAAGCCUAGCUUGGUAUUGGGCGCCGCGGCGAUCUCCAUCGCUGCGCGCCUUAAAGUCUCCGGCUGAGCAGUCUGUCUCCGAGCGUUGUGACACAUGUCGCUAGGGAGUGCAGGUCUGCCGCGGCCGUUAAACCUCUUUCAUUAA
Molecule: unclassified non-coding RNA, 152 nt
Filed under: uncultured Mycosphaerella
Lineage: Eukaryota; Fungi; Ascomycota; Dothideomycetes; Mycosphaerellales; Mycosphaerellaceae
Description: sequence contains ITS2
Source: RNAcentral